RNAcentral lists this ribosomal RNA (242 nucleotides) under uncultured bacterium. RNAcentral's name for it is "partial 16S ribosomal RNA". It matches the Rfam family "Bacterial small subunit ribosomal RNA", at positions 94 to 334 of the family's 1533-position model. The record is from RNAcentral.
AGUGGCGGACGGGUGAGUAACGCGUGGGUAACCUGCCUCAUACAGGGGGAUAACAGUUAGAAAUGACUGCUAAUACCGCAGUAAGACCACGGAGCCGCAUGGCUCAGUGGGAAAAACUCCCGGUGGUAUGAGAUGGACCCGCGUCUGAUUAGGUAGUUGGUGGGGUAACGGCCUACCAAGCCGACGAUCAGUAGCCGACCUGAGAGGGUGACCGGCCACAUUGGGACUGAGACACGGCCCAA